RNAcentral lists this ribosomal RNA (460 nucleotides) under uncultured bacterium. RNAcentral's name for it is "partial 16S ribosomal RNA". It matches the Rfam family "Bacterial small subunit ribosomal RNA", at positions 338 to 795 of the family's 1533-position model. The record is from RNAcentral.
CCUACGGGUGGCAGCAGUGAGGAAUAUUGGUCAAUGGCCGGAAGGCUGAACCAGCCAAGUAGCGUGAGGGAAGACUGCCCUAUGGGUUGUAAACCUCUUUUAUGCGGGGAUAAAGGUGGCCACGUGUGGAUGUUUGCAGGUACCGCAUGAAUAAGGAUCGGCUAAUUCCGUGCCAGCAGCCGCGGUAAUACGGAGGGUCCGGGCGUUAUCCGGAUUUAUUGGGUUUAAAGGGAGCGUAGGCGGGUCUUUAAGCGUGCCGUGAAAUUUUGUGGCUCAACCAUGAGAGUGCGGCGCGAACUGGAGGCCUUGAGGUCGCGGGAGGCAGGCGGAAUUCGUGGUGUAGCGGUGAAAUGCUUAGAUAUCACGAAGAACCCCGAUUGCGAAGGCAGCCUGCCGCAGCGUUACUGACGCUGAGGCUCGAAAGCGCGGGUAUCGAACAGGAUUAGAUACCCGUGUAGUC